GGUGACGAGCGGCGGACGGGUGAGUAAUGUCUGGGAAACUGCCUGAUGGAGGGGGAUAACUACUGGAAACGGUAGCUAAUACCGCAUAACGUCGCAAGACCAAAGUGGGGGACCUUCGGGCCUCAUGCCAUCAGAUGUGCCCAGAUGGGAUUAGCUAGUAGGUGGGGUAACGGCUCACCUAGGCGACGAUCCCUAGCUGGUCUGAGAGGAUGACCAGCCACACUGGAACUGAGACACGGUCCAGACUCCUACGGGAGGCAGCAGUGGGGAAUAUUGCACAAUGGGCGCAAGCCUGAUGCAGCCAUGCCGCGUGUGUGAAGAAGGCCUUCGGGUUGUAAAGCACUUUCAGCGGGGAGGAAGGCGUUAAGGUUAAUAACCUUGUCGAUUGACGUUACCCGCAGAAGAAGCACCGGCUAACUCCGUGCCAGCAGCCGCGGUAAUACGGAGGGUGCAAGCGUUAAUCGGAAUUACUGGGCGUAAAGCGCACGCAGGCGGUCUGUCAAGUC
Molecule: ribosomal RNA, 506 nt
Filed under: Klebsiella pneumoniae
Lineage: Bacteria; Pseudomonadati; Pseudomonadota; Gammaproteobacteria; Enterobacterales; Enterobacteriaceae
Description: bacterial SSU rRNA
Rfam family: Bacterial small subunit ribosomal RNA
Source: RNAcentral